UGAGAGUUUGAUCCUGGCUCAGGAUGAACGCUGGCGGCGUGCUUUAGGCAUGCAAGUAGAACGGGGGGUGCCAUACGGUACCCCCAGUUGCAGACGGGUGAGUAAUACAUAGGAAUCUACCUUUUAGUGGGGAAUAGCUGGCCGAAAGGCCAAUUAAUACCGCAUAAGUCCCGCCUUUGGCGGGAGAAAGGGCGUAACUGCCCGCUGAAAGAUGAGCCUAUGUCCUAUCAGCUAGUUGGUGGGGUAAAGGCCUACCAAGGCGAUGACGGGUAGCUGGACUGAGAGGUCGGUCAGCCACAAUGGCACUGAGACACGGGCCAUACGACUACGGUCGGCAGCAACUAGGAAUAUUGCGCAAUGGACGAAAGUCUGACGCAGCGACGCCGCGUGGAGGAUGACGGCCUUCGGGUUGUAAACUCCUUUUGUCCCCGCAUAUGCGGGGGAGAAUAAGCACCCACUAACUACGUGCCAGCAGUUGCGGUAAUACGUAGGGUGCAAGCGUUAUCCGGAUUUAUUGGGCGUAAAGAGUUCGUAGGCGUCCCGAUGCAUCUCGCUUUAAAUUCCAAGGCUUAACCUUGGGCAGGGGCGAGAUAUGAUCGGGAUCGAGUCAAUUAGGGGGUACUGGAAUUGUCGGUGUAGCAGUGAAAUGCGUUGAUAUCGACAAGAACACCAAGGGCGAAGGCAGGUACCUGGGAUUUGACUGACGCUGAGGAACGAAAGCUAGGGGAGCGAAAGGGAUUAGAGACCCCUGUAGUCCUAGCCGUAAACUAUGUCCGCUUGAUCCUUGCCGCAAAGUGGGGGUCGGAGCUAACGCGUGAAGCGGACCGCCUGGGGAGUACGGCCGCAAGGCUAAAA
This 855-nucleotide ribosomal RNA is filed under the name Candidatus Amesbacteria bacterium GW2011_GWC2_45_19. Its description in RNAcentral is "bacterial SSU rRNA". It matches the Rfam family "Bacterial small subunit ribosomal RNA", at positions 1 to 899 of the family's 1533-position model. Lineage: Bacteria; Candidatus Amesiibacteriota. The record is from RNAcentral.